UAGAAGUAGUGGCUGUGCAAAUGGGAAA
RNAcentral lists this non-coding RNA (28 nucleotides) under Homo sapiens (human). The record is from RNAcentral. Lineage: Eukaryota; Metazoa; Chordata; Mammalia; Primates; Hominidae.